This is an RNA transcript of Bemisia tabaci, 8921 nucleotides long. It is a transcript of the gene named guanylate kinase, with no coding region annotated. NCBI's taxonomy places the organism in Eukaryota, Metazoa, Arthropoda, Insecta, Hemiptera, Aleyrodidae. The record is from RefSeq and is a predicted model, not a curated record.
AAGUUUGUCAUCUAAGUUCUAACCUGAAAAAAUAACUAAAGUGGAAUUUGGAUUUUUGGGCCGUGAAAUCGCGAAUUCUUUGUGAUCUGUGAAACGUCUGCGGUGAAUUUGUUUUUUAGUGGAUAUUGCGAAAUAGCCGGUGGUAAUGUUAAGGAUUCCUUUCUGCAACUAAUUAUAAGGUCUCUUAUCUUCAGUCACUUUAUCGAAACAGUCAUAUUUUUCCCUCCCAGAUUAACCUUGUGGUAUUUUUGUAAUCAAUAUUCAGGUUACCUCAAAGCAAUGGUUCGACACGGUCCAAAAGUGCUUGUCAUGUGUGGACCCUCUGGCAGUGGAAAGUCAACUCUGCUGCGGCGGCUUUUCGAUGACUACCCUGACAAAUUUGGGUUUUCUGUUUCACAUACCAGCCGCAGCCCAAGACCCGGUGAAAUAGAUGGUAAACAUUAUCAUUUUACAGACCGAAAGGAGAUGGAAAACGCUAUAGCGAGAGGAGAGUUUCUUGAAUCUGCUGUGUUCUCCAACAAUCUGUAUGGGACAAGUUUAGCAGCUGUUGAAAGUGUCUGGAAAAGUGGCAAGAUUUGCGUGCUUGACAUCGACAUGCAGGGUGUUAAACAAGUAAAGCAACGCAGUAAUAUGAUGGAUCCUAUUCUUGUAUUCAUAAAACCGCCGUCACUGAAAGAACUCGAAGACCGCCUCCGUAAGCGAGGGACAGAAACUGAGGACAGCCUCCAAAGACGAUUAGCUGUUGCACAGGAAGAAAUUGAAUAUGGAGAUACUCCAGGCAACUUUCACUUGGUGAUCAUCAAUGAUAAUCUGGAGAAAUCGUAUGCCAAGCUAAGAGACUUUGUCCUUGCUGAACUCGUAAAAAAUGGUGUAGAUUCUGGAGAAUAAUUCCUCGUCCCAGCACCCUGCACAAGAAUUUUGCAGUCAUUCCAUGUCCUCCCGGUAAAUUUGUAUUGAAAUUAUGUUGAGUCAUUUUGCAAUCCACUUAUUCUACCUGAAGGCUUUUCACCAGAAGCAGGGUACCACUUUUCCUGUUACUCGUAACUUAAUCAACCUUUCAAGCUCCUCAGGCAGGCACACUCUUUGUCUUUGGUUCAUUCUUUAUCUAAGUGCCCGUUCAAUCAAUCUGCUCUUAUUGUGACAACUGCUGAUGAACUUACUUUUGCUUCUUCAGUUUAAGCACUCACUCCAAGAAUAAAUCAAGAAAAUAUUGGGUAAAACUGUUUCCUCUCCUGUGGUUUAUGUUACUUGCGAGCAGUGCAGUUCAACUCCUGAUUUUUUGAAAUUGAUAAAUUGUUACAUCUCUUUAUACAUCUCUCUCUUACACAACAGCGUUUAAUCUUCUGCUUGAAUUUCAAAGGAAAGAAUUGGUCAGCUUUUUAAUUGAGGAAGUUCAUAGGGUAGUUAUGGCAGGUUUUCCCCUGGUUUGAUCUCAGAAGUUUCAUUUCGUAAAUAUACAGUUCCGAAGUAUUCUAGUUAAUCAACUGAACAAUGGUUUAUGGACUGCUUUAUUGACUGAAGGCAAAGUGAUCGAAUGAGGCAUGCUGCUCUGUUUUUACCUGGAAAUUUUUUCACCGUAUUUGCUUUACGGUUUAUUCCACCAGGAUUAUCCUAAAAAAUGGGUGCAAAAAAAUUAUUCUCUCCUCAAUUUCACCAGAUGCGUUAAAAAAUAUCCUAAAUUCUCCACAUUUUCAGAGACGCAUCCAGAAAGAUCGAAGCCGUCUCCAAUUGAAUGUUACUAUUAAACGCAAAUUCACAAAUCGUCUUCUCCUGCAGGGAAAAUGUUUUCCUGUGCUGUUUCAGCAUUUUUGCGAACAUUUUAUCUUCUCAUGAUAGAACUGUCAAACAAAUUAUGUAGUCUGAAAAUUUCAGAGUUUUUUUUCUCACAAUAGUGAAGAAAGAUCCUUAGAAUUUGCAGGAAAAUUUACUUGAUCGUUCUCCUAUGACUAAUUAAAAUGUAAGUAAGCAUUAUUGAAACAGCGCAAUCGAGAAACUGUCCUUCGUAUAGGAUCCGACAAAAUGUUUCGACUUCCAGCAUUUAAAACAGAUCUGCCAAAAUUAGGAGCCUGCCAUGCUAUACUGUCAGCUCACUUCUUCUAAUGUAGAUUUUCAUGAUGAGAUUGAAAAUCAAGUAUCAGAUGACACUUAUGUCGUUCAAUGUUUUGCUAUUUUUUUCCUUUUCAAGUUAAAUUAUUCAAUUUUUUUUUAUUUUCCCCCACUCUUCUCCUCAAACUGCAGUUUUGCCCAAAUGUAAGGCUGAGAUUAUGCCUGAGAUAAAGGUUAGUGCUGUAAGAGUUAAAAUUUUCUGAGCAUUCUACGUUAAGGGCCAUUUUUUGUCUCCUACAGUGUGUGUUACCAGGAGCUUCCCCUCUCAAAUCAAGAUAAUCAAUCAGUUAUCGGUGCAUUUAAUGUACAUUUAAUUUUUAAUGUUAGCAUCACUAAUUAUUGCGAACACUGAGCAUUAAAAUGCCAGUUCACCUGUAUGUCUUUGAUCUUUUAUUGUUACUAUACUUAGUUCACGUAAGUGACUAUUUUUGUGUCUCACCGUUGCAUUUUCCCUUGUUGUGAAUUUGUUCUUUUUCUGCUCUUACCCUGUUGAACUUAGUCUCAAAUUUUAGCCCGUGAGUUUUUUUGAAAGUCUAUCACAUAGAUAAGUGAAUUCUCGUAGAAAGUUCAAUUUUUCUAUGAUUUAUUCUAUUACACUGUACUAUAUUUCACUUCACAAUGGUGUGAGGUUUUGUUGCUAGAUUUGCCAUCAGCCUCGGUAAUCUAUGUCUUAAGAUAACUUAUUUAAUUUAGUUCAACUAAGGUUUGGUCUUUUCGAGAACUGGCAGCUUCCUAAUUUUCUCUGUCUUUGUUGAUCUUAUUCACAUUAAAUAAAGAAGAUUUGUGGUCUCAUUUUGAGGAAAAGUCCAAUGGAAAAAAAUCAAAAACUCAUCACGCACUCAUAUUUGCUGUAGAUUUUUCUUUCAUUUUGGCAGGGGAGUCCAUUAGAUGGAGGAAGCCCUAAGAUACUGUUGCAAAGAUUUUAUUUUUCUGCAGAAAGGAUAUUUAUCAUCAGUACUCACUUUAUAUUAUUCUCUAUGUACGAAAAGUCAAGAUUUCACGUUUUCAAUUAGUGCUAGCGCAUUGUCAAAUUUCAUCUCAACUCCAUUGUCAUUUAACAUUUUAAUGCACCACCUUUUAAAAGUAGGCAGUGUCUGUUUCUGUGCAUAGGGAAUGUGUACUCUGAGUACAUCUUUUUCUAAGAAUUAUAAAAAAACAAAGAUUAGUUUGCCAACUUGAUUGCACUGUAAUUCAUAUCAUUAUUUACCUUUUUUUUUCGUUUUGUUUUCGAGCUCUGUUAUUCUAAUUUUAUUGCUAAGCAGGUAUCAAAGUUAUUUGUUUUGCAUCUUUUGGGUUCCAGUAAUCUCAUGUCUAACUGAAACUGUUACAAUCUUCAUAUGGGCUCAGAGAGUAUCAGCUUUUAUAGGUUAUCGUUUACUAUCAUUUCUCCUAAAUACAAUUUUUGGAUGAGGCAUCUCUCCAAACCUUUUUUUUUUUUUAGGGCUUGUAAGAUUUAAUUUUUCUUUAUUUAUUAUUUAUUUAUGUUUUAUUAUUUGUUUUUUCUGUUCGCCAUUGUAUAAAUCUUAUUUGACUUAUUUACUUAAUAAUAUAUAUUAAUUUUCCUUAGUGAAUUUUCUCAAAAACGAAUGAAUUUUUAGUUACUUUUCUCAAGUUACUAUAUUUUAGAAAAUUAAAUUACGUUUUUUAUCAUUUGUAGUCAUAAUUCUUGAUUUCUUACUCUGACCAAUACCAAUCUGUAGGUACGAAUAGCACCAUGAAACAAUCUUAAACCAAUCGUAAAGUCCUUUUUUGUCUAUAGUUUAGUUUUUACAUUUACGCUCCUAUUUGACUUUGAUUUAUUUUAUCUUUUUUCACUCUAAUCUACUUUUCACUGUAGCAAUUGUUUCUGCAGUUGUAUCUCGAUAUAAAGUUUCCUAAAAUAACGUUUUCCUAGGAACAAGGCUCAUUUUAUCAGGUCCCGGUCAGUCACCUCUAAUUUUAGUGUUUCUCAGAAUAACGUUUUUUGGGAAACGUUUUACUUUACUUUUCCUCUGAAAACGUUAUAACAAGAUAUGAUUGUAUCUUGUUCUGUCGAAUUGUUUGUACCCAACAUUAUUUUAUGUAUUUUUCAUUUAGAUUUUAAUUUUAUAAUUUAUCUAUUCUCUCGUCUCAUUCAUAUUUUAUCAGUGGAAUUACCAUAUUCCUCAUUUACUUGAUACCUUCUGUUUCACUUGGCCUCAUUCUAUUUUUUUCCUUUGUGUUCUGAUUUGAGCACUUUCUUUUGAAACUUGUAGUGCCUCCCAGCUAUGCAGCGAUGACUUCCCUGAAACUUGUACUUAAGUUUUGGAAACUACCCUUGUUGGCUACUCAUGUCCUAUGAUCAAAAGUUAAAACGAUUCUCUAUAUUUGAACUACACUAAAAAUUACCAACAUCCUUUUAAUUAAGUGGUAUUUGUGAAUUGUAUGUUAUCUUAUUAUGUAGUUAGCAACUGACACCAUUAACACAAGCAACUGAUGCAAAAUAUGGUUAGCGGUCAGUUCUCAUAAACCUUAAAUAAAAUAUUCAAUCACCUACUCAUUCGGUUCUGUUUUCCUCUGCUGGAUGUUUCAAGCUUCAUAGUGAAGGGCAUUUUCAUUUUGGUCGUAUUACAAUGAAUUUUUAAAUUUUUCUCAAAUUUAGUUAAAUUUUAGAGGAGAUGGUGGUGAAUUCAGCUGUAUGUCAUCCUUAGAAAUAGAGCUGUGCUCUCUGUUGAGUUGCCUGAAUGAAAAAUUAAGGCAAAUGGUCACAUACUUGCAGCUUUUUUUUUUAAAUUUUUUGAAAAUUUUGGUUUAAUUGAGCUUCUGAAAGUUAUAGAGUGUAAAUUUUAAAGUAAUUUAUUUUUAUCAAUUUGGGAGAUUGAGAAAAGUAUCUAUUUUGUUAACGUUACAAGAGAAUUGUUUGUAAAAAGUCGGAACGGAAAAAGGCAUGAAUUUAGAUUGUAGUUGAAGUUAAUUUAAUUUAUUUUCUUACUUGAUUCUUACUUGUCGCGUUUAUUGAUUUAAAGAUGUACCCUUUUUGUAUCCUCUCAGUGUCAACUUACCCAUCGAUUUCAGUUCAGCUUCUUCAUUUUUGUCGGAAUCAUCGUAUCUGGUCUGAUCGAUUUUGGUCUGGUCUGUGAGAUGAUAUCAAUUUUCCUGAGGUAGGUUGAAAAUAUUAAAACGCUGUGAUUUUCAGGGAAUAAACAUGUUAAUUUUCCCAUUGUUGAAAAAUAACUAGGGUUCAGCGUCAUUAACAACCCCCGAUUGUUAUUAAAUCAAUUCAAAAUUUAUCAAUUUCGUGGUGCAGGACUGGCACUCAGUCUUUGUCAGUCAGAAAACUAGUAUAUAUAUGUACAGUGAUUAUUUUAUUUUAAGAAAAAGGGAAAAGGAAACGGAGGCACUUUGUCAAUUCACAGAGGUUUUUCUCCGCUUAAUGCAAAGAAAAAUGUAGAUUUUUUGUAUGAUUGUGGUAUGGGCAAAAGACUAUUCUUCCGAGCCUCUUGUAUUUCAUUAUGUUACAUCGACACUGAAUUAUGUUGACCCUUUUAUCUUGCGAUUGUUGUCCAGAGAUUCAAUUCUUUUUUAAUUGAUUGUUUUCGUCCUCAGUAUAUUAUUUAGUACUUAAAAGGACACUAAAAAUAAGAAAGUAGAGAGUAAGCGAAUGAAAAUGCCAGUGAUGUAUAAAAAAAUUAGCGGCAAAUUCUUUGACAACUGUGUGAUUGUUGGCCAUAGCGGCACUCUUUUUUAAGGCUUAGAAAUGGUACAACAUCCCAAAGAUUUGCCUUCAAACAUGUCAAGCUUUCUCCUCUUAUUCUGAAUGUCUUGUAUCUUCAAGCUUUCACUAAUCAUUGUGUACUGAAGUCUUUCAGUUGAAUCUUAUUACUCAUUAUUGUUGGCUUAUGUUUCUAACUAUUGUUGAAGUUGUCAUGUUAAUAUCUUACAGCAGCAAUAAUAUUGUACCCGUAGAUAAGUGCAUUUUCUUGCAAAGCGUAAUUUAAUUUAUUUGUUUAUUUGUUAUGGAAAAUGAUCUUUUUCCUCCAAGUGUUUUGAGCUUUUUACAUGAAUCCAAUAAAAUUCUGCCACACUUUGCUGUUAAAGUUAAAAAAAGCGCAUUCCUCAAUUGUCAGUCAAUUUGAGGGAAGGAAAAAACGGUUAAAAAUAAGGAGGAACUUUGCUCGUUGUGAUUCAGUUUCCUGGGUUUUGUGUCAAAAGUAAUCGAAACAUUUGGAUUGAAAUAAAAUACUUUUACGUUUAUAAAUAUUCUUUUACUUAUGCAGGAUAGAUAAAAAUCACGUUACUAGGUAAAAUUAGAAGGAGAAAAUAAUUUUCAAGUGUUCAGUCCUCAGGUUUCAUCUGUGUAUUCAUUUUUUCCAUUAGUAUUUCCAUCAGAUUUUGUUUGCGCAAUUUCUGACUCCUGUUUUCACACUCAGAAGGCAGAUUAGUUCUCCCCCACGGACCCCUUGACUGGAGUGCAUUUAUAACGUCGGAAAUUUAACUUGUAAUUAUUGAUGCAUUUUGUGAAAUUUAUUUCCCUAGUUUACUUCAAUCCUCCAACCAAAAUAAUCCUAUUGAGUGGUUGUUGUUUCUUAUAAUUGUCUCAAAUCAUCUUUUUUUUUUUAAGUAGCAAUGUUAUCCUCCUUAUUUUUCUGUCUAAGUAUACAUACUAUUGUGCCAGAUUCUUCUAGACCAACAGUUUUAAGUAGAGCCAAUGUGCCCUUUACUUUGAGACAUGCACUGGAAACUAAUAGGAAGGGAUAAUGGUUGCACACUCAUUAACAGCACUAAAAUCGAGACAUUUAAUAUCAAACAAUGGGCCGUUUUGUAUGAAUAUCACAUAAAAUGACUUUUACUUUUUGAAAAGAAAAGAAAAUCCAAGCCCUUCUCUGAAGUUGUUUUUAGGGCCGUCUGACUUUUGAAAUGUCAUUCCACGACAAAAUAAUGGAGAGCUGAGAUCAAAAUUCUUCCUCAAAUCUUUCCAUCCACAUAGGGGCAUAUGUUCCGCAAAUUUUGUGGUUAGAAAGCUUCCUCAAUUAUACAUGAAGGUGAGGAAAAAAUUUAGUUAAUCUAAUAUUAUUACAAAUAUUCUGGUUAAGAAUUUGCCUCUAUUAGAAUUUUGGUGGUUGCGGACUGAUAUUUCUAUUCCUAUCGAUUCUGGCCAUUUUUACAUUAAAAAAGUGGGUGGAAACGUAUUUGAGUAAAUUGUCUAUACACUAAUCUCCUAUUUUGAAGUGUUGCCUAUUCAAUCCUGUGAGUUACUUAGUACUUAAUUUCAGUGAAGGGCAAGAAUUAAUUUAAGCUCUAAUCAAUCUUUAAAGAUUUUGCUAUAUCUGUGUUAGCUUAGUUAUUACCUAAAUAAGUAAAGGCUAAUAACCUCAAUUGUUUGUUUACACAGAGUAUAAUUCUUGAACUAUCGAAGCUAAAAUCUACUUUAUGCUAUUUGUUUCUAUCAUCGAUCCCUUCUUUCAACCAGUUGUAAGUUAAUCUGUUUCACUUGGCGUUGAGAAUAUCAAUAUGAUAUUUUUUGUUCAAGUUCCUCCUCGGUGAUUGUAAGUAAAGUAAUGCCCUGAUUAUCCUACCAUCAAUUAUCUAAAGCUUCAGUCAUCUAGAGUAGUCAAAAUUAAGUUUUUGGUCAUGUCCUCAGUCUUUUUUUGAUGGUUUCGAUUAUUUGACUUUUUUGAUAUCUGACAUGGCCUUCUCCACUAAUCGUUGGAUACUCGGGGCACUACUGCACUAAAUUUCUUUUAAAUGUGUAAUAAUUUAAUAGCUAUACAAGGCAUUAAUACAUUUAUCAUUUUAAGAACGUGCCUGUCAAAUAGAUGUGGAUUUGAAUUUUUUGGUCAAAAAGUUAAUGUUUAAUUGGGUCACAUUAAAACAUUGCCUUUUAAAAAUUUCUCCGUUUCAAUCACGUGAAGUUACUCCUAGACUGGCUAUUUCUUCUUUAAGCUACUAUGUUUUGCAAGAUAGUAAUAGCAUGUGCUGUGCCAAAUUUAAAGGAUCAAAUCCACAUCUGUUCAAGAGGCAUGAAUGGUUUUCAUUUUAUGGAGGAGAAUUUUUUUUCUGACUCCAUGUUAAAUUACAUUCGUUUUGAGCGAAAAGCUAAUGCUACAAAACUGGCUUGUAUCCUUUUAAAUUCAUCCUCUUUUUUUCGCAGAUCAUUGAUAAGAAAAUUCAGGAAAUAUGCUUGAAAUACUAUCAGAUAAUAAGAGAGUUUAAUAAUCGUAUCAUUGAAGGUAGACCAGGAAAGGCACUUAGUAUUUUAAAAAUAGUUUUCAACGUCUGAUUGAAAUGGUAGUACCAUUUUUGGCGUUAAGACAAAAAAUAUGAGUGAUACAGUUUCAAAUGAGAAUAAUUCCAAAGUCAAAAAAGGAAAUUUUGAAAUGGAAAUUUUUUGAAAAUUUUGAAGGAAAAAUGUAUGCUAAAUUCUAAAAAUGCAUAUCUGAAAUGCAACUAAAAUAAAUUUCCGGUCAUUAUGGAAAAGACAAAAAAUUUAGUCAUCUCUGCUUGAGCCAGUUCUUUUUACAACCAGUGAAAGCCUACUUGUCAAUGAUUUAUUUUGUUCCUAACAGUUCAAAAUCUCGCAGUAUUAUUACUGAUAAAAGAAAGAAAUAAUGACAUUGUUUACUUUAUUACAUGUUUUUAACAGUUUAAGCUGUUUGUUUGUUGUUUUUGAACUGUCUGUUAAACACUUUCAAAGGUUAUACAGUGUUCUCUGACUUGGUUCAAUGCAUUUGCAGUAAGUUUAUCUAUCUUUGUCUCUUCUAAACUAAUUUUUAGUUUUGUAAAUAGCUGUAACAAUGAAUGUGCUUUUCAAAAUUUAAACAUUUCUCUGUCAAAUAAAAAUAGAUCAUGUUAUCAAA